UGGGGAAUAUUGGACAAUGGGCGAAAGCCUGAUCCAGCCAUGCCGCGUGAGUGACGAAGGCCUUAGGGUUGUAAAACUCUUUCGUCGGGGACGAUAAUGACGGUACCCGAAGAAGAAGCUCCGGCUAACUUCGUGCCAGCAGCCGCGGUAAUACGAAGGGAGCUAGCGUUGUUCGGAAUCACUGGGCGUAAAGCGCACGUAGGCGGAUAGUUAAGUCAGGGGUGAAAUCCUGGGGCUCAACCCCAGAACUGCCUUUGAUACUGGCUGUCUCGAGGUCGAGAGAGGUUGGUGGAAUUCCUAGUGUAGAGGUGAAAUUCGUAGAUAUUAGGAAGAACACCAGUGGCGAAGGCGGCCAACUGGCUCGAUACUGACGCUGAGGUGCGAAAGCGUGGGGAGCAAACAGGAUUAGAUACCCCGGUAGUCCCUGAGCGGGCUGGCAAGGCGCAU
This 447-nucleotide ribosomal RNA is filed under the name uncultured bacterium. RNAcentral's name for it is "bacterial SSU rRNA". It matches the Rfam family "Bacterial small subunit ribosomal RNA", at positions 355 to 825 of the family's 1533-position model. The record is from RNAcentral.